Molecule: ribosomal RNA, 430 nt
Filed under: uncultured cyanobacterium
Lineage: Bacteria; Bacillati; Cyanobacteriota
Description: bacterial SSU rRNA
Rfam family: Bacterial small subunit ribosomal RNA
Source: RNAcentral
CGCCCUUGGGGAUUUUCCGCAAUGGGCGAAAGCCUGACGGAGCAACGCCGCGUGAGGGAUGAAGGCCUCUGGGCUGUAAACCUCUUUUAUCAAGGAAGAAGAUCUGACGGUACUUGAUGAAUAAGCCACGGCUAAUUCCGUGCCAGCAGCCGCGGUAAUACGGGAGUGGCAAGCGUUAUCCGGAAUUAUUGGGCGUAAAGCGUCCGCAGGCGGCCUGACAAGUCUGCUGUUAAAGCGUGGAGCUUAACUCCAUUUCAGCAGUGGAAACUGUCAGGCUUGAGUGUGGUAGGGGCAGAGGGAAUUCCCGGUGUAGCGGUGAAAUGCGUAGAUAUCGGGAAGAACACCAGUGGCGCAGGCGCUCUGCUGGGCCAUAACUGACGCUCAUGGACGAAAGCCAGGGGAGCGAAAGGGAUUAGAUACCCCUGUAGUC